UCUGUAGGUGGCCAACUAAGUCAGACGUGAAAUCCCUCAGCUUAACUGGGGAACUGCGUCUGAGACUGGAUGGCUUGAGUGCAGGAGAGGAACGCGGAAUUCCAGGUGUAGCGGUGAAAUGCGUAGAUAUCUGGAGGAACACCGGUGGCGAAGGCGGCGUUCUGGACUGCUACUGACACUGAGAGACGAAAGCCAGGGGAGCAAACG
RNAcentral lists this ribosomal RNA (207 nucleotides) under uncultured bacterium. Its description in RNAcentral is "partial 16S ribosomal RNA". It matches the Rfam family "Bacterial small subunit ribosomal RNA", at positions 568 to 774 of the family's 1533-position model. The record is from RNAcentral.